GACGAACGCUGGCGGUGUGCUUAACACAUGCAAGUCGAGCGAGCGGCGGACGGGUGAGUAAUGUAUGGGGACUGCCCGAUAGAGGGGGAUAACUACUGGAAACGGUGGAUAAUACCGCAUACUAUCGGAUAACCCAUAUGGGAUUAGCUAGUAGGUGGGGUAAAGGCUCACCUAGGCGACGAUCCCGAGCUGGUCUGAGAGGAUGAUCAGCCACACUUGGACUGAGACACGGCCCAGACUCCUACGGAGGCAGCAGUUGGGAAUAUUGCACAAUGGGCGCAAGCCUGAUGCAGCCAUGCCGCGUGUAUGAAGAAGGCCUUAGGGUUGUAAAGUACUUUCAGCGGUGAGGCGUUACCCGCAGAAGAAGCACCGGCUAACUCCGUGCCAGCAGCCGCGGUAAUAC
This 403-nucleotide ribosomal RNA is filed under the name uncultured bacterium. Its description in RNAcentral is "partial 16S ribosomal RNA". It matches the Rfam family "Bacterial small subunit ribosomal RNA", at positions 28 to 526 of the family's 1533-position model. The record is from RNAcentral.